Brassica rapa (field mustard) is the source of this 1871-nucleotide long non-coding RNA. RefSeq lists it as uncharacterized. The record is from RefSeq and is a predicted model, not a curated record. NCBI's taxonomy places the organism in Eukaryota, Viridiplantae, Streptophyta, Magnoliopsida, Brassicales, Brassicaceae.
GUUUGAUAACAUGGUUUGGUGCACAACCAAAUUCAUGGAUUGUAUAGGCAGUUAUAUUAAUUUCAUUAAGCUUGUGUAGGAUCAAAGAAGCACACUUGAUGUAAAAUAGUUUUUCCUGAAUAAAAUUUAACAUUUAUUCAAAAAAAAAAAAUGUUCUUGAUGAUGUAAAUAGAAUCGUUAAACCUGAAUAUUCAUAAGGCAUAUAGAGUUGUAGAUUAUAGAAUCUUAUUACAUAAAGUAGACUGUGUCUCUCUUCUCCUGCUGCCAGCGCAACAAAUAGAGGAAGGAGGAGUCGACAGCUGUCCCGCAACCAAAACGCAGAGCAUCUUUUAAGUUUGUGUCAUUUGGGUUUCUCGGUUCGUUGGGCCUUUUACGUCGUGAGCCCAUCACGUGUUAUAUCAGACGAUGCGUUUUGAUUAGGUUAACGUCUUCGCGUAUACAGAGACAAAGAUGAAACCCUUUGCGCCAUAGACGUAUCGUCUCCUUCCUCUCCCGAUCUCAGAAACUGAUCAAUCACCUUUAAACCUCCCAUUAAACGAUCGCCCACGAUGUAGAUUCAAUGCGAGAUUUUAAUUGCGGAUGGCGAUGGAGUCGACUAUAAGAAGACUGGCCGCUCCUCUUCCACCGUUGAAGUUUGCUUGCUCCGCUUCUGGGAAGCCAGAAACAUCCGCCGUGGUGGCGAGCUCAUGGCCGUUGACAUGCUCUUACUUGAUUCUCAGGUUAUGUAUUAGAUCCGCCUUUUGGUUUUAAUUUGCUGAUUGUAAUUGUCAGUUUUUGUUUUGGUAACCUGUAGUCUAUUUCACACCGAUUGGUUUUUAGUUUUUAAUGAUUGUUUUGUAAAUAUUUGAUGUUCAUCCGUUUCACCGUCUGAGUAAAUCCAUCGGUUCACAUCUGUAGUCAUCUCCACUGUUUUGUAUUUAGAUUUUGUUAGAAGAUAAUUGUGUUAUUUUACGAUUCUGUUUCUUACUUUGAUUUUUUUGUUUGUGUAUAUUCUUAGUAUGGUUUCUUCAUUGUUUGAUUUAUGCUGAUUUGUAUUGUGUUAUUUGUGUUGCAGUUUUUGCAGAUGUCCCUGCGUCUCUUCCUUUUUGAGUUUCAGUUUCCAUCUUAGAUGUCUGAAUCUCUGUUGAUGUCUGAUUAUAUGUAACUGGAUUUGAAAUACAUUAUGUUGCCAAAUGAAAUGAGCAACUGAGUGUUUCUAAGAACUGAUUCAUUUAUCGAGUUUGUUACUUCUGCAGGAGCAAAAAGUGGAAUCUUUGGAUGAUUAGGGCGAGACCAGUAGCUUAUGGUCCUGAAAUAGUGCAUCGAGUCGAGCCUGUGAGCUUAGAAGAACUUGGACGGCCGAGUGAUGCUCCUGAAGCAAAAAAGGCUGAGAAGAAGAGCAAAUCUUUAAGAUGGCUCUUAGCACUGCAGCAGUCACGUUAGAGAACCAAUCUGCUGUAUCCAAAGUCAUACCAAAGGAUGACGUCAAGUGGACACGAAGGAGGAGGUCGUGAGAUAUUGAAGAGGCUCACCAACAUUGUAGCCAAGAGAUGUACACAAAAAGUUCUAUUGAGUCUAGCCCAUCAUCUACUUCAGACUUCUUCCCUAAAGCAAGAUAAUUUUAAAGUCUUUAAUGUGUUGUGAUCGUGAUCAUAGUAUACUGUUAAUAAUAAGGGAUGCUCAUUGACUUAAACAAAUAAAAAACGUCUAUGCUCAUUGCCUUUGGCUUUAUACUAACAAAAAAACGUGCAAGACUGCAGAAUCAGUAAGCCUGCAAAUCAGUAACCCGAGACAGAAGACACGGAUCCUACAUAGCUCUUCUCCUUUGUUUGAGAUGAUCAUCUUUUUAUCUGAUGCCUACUGGUGUUAGUUUUCAUUAGCUUUUGUUUUCU